Molecule: long non-coding RNA, 485 nt
Filed under: Gadus morhua (Atlantic cod)
Lineage: Eukaryota; Metazoa; Chordata; Actinopteri; Gadiformes; Gadidae
Description: lncRNA (ENSGMOG00000035952.1)
Source: RNAcentral
GUAACAUUUUAGGUUAGGUGAACUCCUCACAGUGUUAAUUUUGUUUUGAAAGAUAAUUCCUACAAAUAGUGAGUGAUGUAGUGGAUGGCUGGAAAGAAGAGAGGCAGCUUGAUGGACGAAGCGGCAGCUUCUGGUGCUACCGGCCUCACCAUCUCUCUCCUAAGCGCCCUCACUUCACUCCCCAGGUUGGUAAUUUCCGCUUUCAUCAAUUUAUUUUCUUCCAGCACUUUGGAAAGCAGCUCCACGACUUUAGAUAUUCCCAUAUCUGUUCAUGGAAGUUACUUAUUAGAAAUGUUUUCUGGGGUUUGGUGUACUUUGGUGUACUUUCCCAUUUCAUCUUAAUAAUAAUGUGCAUGAUAAUGAUAAACAAUGGUUAGAAUGUUUAUCUCCUCGACUUACCAUGCAAUAGCUGGUGGCUUGGUUGGACUGUAUCUAUAUUCAAAAGUCAUUGAUUAGUGUCAAGUGCCAAUGAUUAUAUAUUUUUU